CCAGCGCAGGGGCAGUCACAGGAGCAGGACCAGGGCACAAGAUGGCUGUGUGCAUCCCCCACUGAGCUCAAGACUUGGUUCCAUUCCCGGGUAUCUGGGGGACUCUGCACGAGUUGCAAAACACCUCUGAGCCCUGGACCUUUUCUCCAUGGAGUCUGAACCUGCCCACCUAAGAACAUGUACUUUGGCAGACCCA
Molecule: long non-coding RNA, 196 nt
Filed under: Fukomys damarensis (Damara mole-rat)
Lineage: Eukaryota; Metazoa; Chordata; Mammalia; Rodentia; Bathyergidae
Description: lncRNA (ENSFDAG00000022421.1)
Source: RNAcentral